AAUUGGAGGGCAAGUCUGGUGCCAGCAGCCGCGGUAAUUCCAGCUCCAAUAGCGUAUAUUAAAGUUGUUGCAGUUAAAAAGCUCGUAGUUGAAUUUCGGGAUCAAUAUUUCGGUCAUGCCGUUGGUAUGCACUGUUAUCAUUGAUUUCUCACCUUCUAAAGAACCGUAAUGCCAUUAAUUUGGUGUUACGGGGAAUUAGGACUGUUACCUUGAAAAAAUUAGAGUGUUUAAAGCAGGCUCACGCUUGAAUACAUUAGCAUGGAAUAAUGAAAUAGGACAUCCGAUUCUAUUUUGUUGGUUUCUAGGAUCGAUGUAAUGAUUAAUAGGGAUAGUUGGGGGCAUUAGUAUUCAAUUGUCAGAGGUGAAAUUCUUGGAUUUAUUGAAGACUAACUACUGCGAAAGCAUUUGCCAAGGAUGUUUUCAUUAAUCAAGAACGAAAGUUAGGGGAUCGAAGACGAUCAGAUACCGUCGUAGUCUUAACCAUAAACUAUGCCGACUAGGGAUCGGAUGAUGUUAAUUUUUUAAUGACUCGUUCGGCGCCUUACGGGAAACCAAAGUGU
This 560-nucleotide ribosomal RNA is filed under the name uncultured Glomus. RNAcentral describes it as "SSU rRNA". It matches the Rfam family "Eukaryotic small subunit ribosomal RNA", at positions 546 to 1106 of the family's 1831-position model. The record is from RNAcentral. Lineage: Eukaryota; Fungi; Glomeromycota; Glomeromycetes; Glomerales; Glomeraceae.